Molecule: long non-coding RNA, 4669 nt
Filed under: Homo sapiens (human)
Lineage: Eukaryota; Metazoa; Chordata; Mammalia; Primates; Hominidae
Description: long intergenic non-protein coding RNA 667
Source: RNAcentral
GCCGCGGCCGGGAGGGACCGAGCGGGGAGCAAGGCCUGCGGGGAGGCGCAGGAUGGACGCGUUGGCUGUCAUGAUGUAGGACCUCCUGACCUAGAACCAUGCCCGGCGCAGGGAGAACAACGAGCUUACGGACCGGGUGCGGGGGCUGCUGUGCGAGAAAGCCUACCUGCUGGCCCGGGAGCGUUCGCCGGCCCACCUGGUGGCUUUCCCUGGACGUUUAACGGCGACUCCGCCCGGCCUCCCGACUUUUUGAUGCAGGCGUUCUCUUACAUGACUUUCUUCGAGGCUAGAUUCUCGAAAGACAUCCUGAAGGUGGCUUUCUUAAUUAGCUGCCUCACCGGCUGGCGGAGCAGUUCGUAGUCGCCUACAUCGAGAGGGAGAGCCCCGUCCUGGCUCAGUACUGGGGCUUCGUGGACGCGCUGUAGCGGGUCUUCGCCGUCGUGGGUAGGAAACAGUCGGGCCGGAUCCCCGGUGUCUGGGGAGCGGCUGCCGGCCGGGCCCGCGCGAGCCGCUUCACUCCUACAAGCCCGGCUCACUAGUUCCAAGCUGCUGGACUUUGACCCUCGCUGGGAAGCUUGAUCGCCGCCUGUUCUCGCCAAUCUCUAUGCCUUUGCACUGCCCAGCAACCCGGUCACUGCCCAGGACCUGUUAAAAGUUGAAUGGACCUCCCAGAAUCACGCCGCUGCCACCGCCGUUUCUAGAGACGGCUUUUGGCCACCUUUGAGAAUCAGGGUCAAACUUGGAAGGGCCUGCAUUUGUCACACUUCCUCGGACACUAAUUUGGAUAGUUCAGGCCCAGAGACGGCUUCCCGGGUUAGUGUGCCUGACAACACUGAAGAAAAAUUGUGACAUUUUCCUUCCCCAGAAUUACUUCGUUUUAUACAUUUCACUUCUCUUCUGAAAUCACAGCAAUGCCAGUUUGCGCCUUUUGGUCUGAGGAACGCAGGCCCUGGCCACUACCAGGAAAAAAACCUUCUGGAUUUCAGCUUUGGCAAGCUUCCUCUGUUUCUGAGACACCUCCAUCACCUGGGUUACAAUCCCAUCCAUGAUUUUCCCCAUCUCCAGGCAUUUUUCAUGGAAAGCUCCUCAUGCUUUUUAAUUCCAGUUUAUCCAUUUGUGUGGCUUUAACCUCCACAUCCAGGUCUUUCUGGCUAAACUGCAGUAUAUCCACAAUGGGGCCAAUGGACACAUAAGGGAGGCCCUAUCACAGGAACACGAACACCCGGAGUCGCUAGAAAUCAGAUUCCACCGGCUUUGCUUCAGGCCGACUUCCUAAGGAAGGCAUGGUAGCAUCACAGAUGCUGUUUGUCUCAGUUUCCUGAGAAGCCAGUUUCUUAGAGCUGUCAUUCAAGAGUGGGUCAAAUUUGAGAUAUAAAAACCUUUCUCAAGGUAGACUCUUUGGCCCCUAUGCCUAGUAUGUCAGCUGGGCCUCUGAAGCUCUCCUCUUUGAGGUCCUGGCAGGCUCUGGCCCCUGUUGAGAAGGGGAAGCAGUCAUGUGAACUCAUGUGCUGGAAGAAUCCACUCUACCCCUUCCCUGGCUUCUCUGCUGCAAUUUUUGUCUUUAAACGUAUUUUCAGAUCCUUUGCACAUGGCCUGCUAUCAACAAUCCUCUACAAUGAUUCUCAGCAUCACCUAGGGAGCUUAUGUAAAAUCUCAAAUUCCUGGGCCCUAUCCCCAGAGUUUCUUAUCAAGUAAGUCUGCAUUGGGAUCUGAGGAUUUGCAUCUCUAACAAAAAUUCCUAGGCGAUGCUCACACUGUUGGUGUAAGGUUUCCUUGAUGGAGAACUAUCAAAGCAGUCAAAGCUAUCAAAAUAAAAAAGAAUUCUGAUUGGGUGCAGUGGCUCACACCUGUCAUUCCAGCACUUUGAGAGGCCAAGGUGGGCAGAUCACAUGAGGCCAGGAGUUCAAGACCAGCCUGGCCAACAUGGCAGAAACCCCAUCUCUACUAAAAAUACCAAAAUUAGCCGGGCAUGGUGGAACACACCUGCAAUCCCAGCUACUCGGGAGGCUGAGGCAAGAGAAUCGCUUGAACCUGGGAGGCAGAAGUUGCAGUGAAACAAGUUGGUGCCAAUGCAUUCCAGCCUGGAUGAUGGAGCGAGACUCUGUCUCAAGAAAAAAAAAACAAAAACAAAAACAGAACUCUGCCUCAUAGCGUCUUUUAAGUUAUACACUGGACCUAUCCUUUCCUCACUGACAGACAUUUUAAAAAUUUUUUGGUAAGGCCUAGUUCAUAUAAAAUGUAAUCCAAGCCAAAAGUUAACAAGAAUAAGGGGAGGAAAGGGGACUCCAAUAGCAGAGAAAGGUAUUUACCUGGGAUAUACACUGCAAGAAAAUCAAAGCUAUAAGAAACGUCCAUGAAUAGUAGCCAUAAGGCAUCAGAGUGAUAAAAUUCCUGUCCCUAGGAGGGAAUAUUGGAGUUUGCCAGAGAAACAGAAUGAGAGAGACAGAGAGGUUUAUUGUAGGAAUUGGCUCAUAUGAUUACGGAGGCUGAGAAGACCCACGAUCUGCCAUCUGCAAGCUGGAGAAUCAGGAAAGCUGGAGGUGUAAUUCAGUCAAGUCCAAUGGCCAGAGAAGCAAGUGUACUGAUAUCCAAGAGCAGGAGAAAAUAGAUGUCCCAGAACAAGCAGAGAGGCUGAUUUUGUCCUUCCUCUGCCUUUUUGUUUCAUAUGGGGCACUGAAUGGACUGAUGCCCAUCCACAUUAGUGAGGGUGGAUCUUCUUUACUCAGUCUACCAGUAGAAAUGUCAAUGACUUCCAGAAACACCCUCACCAACACACGUGGAAAUAAUGUUUUACCAGGUAUCUGGGCAUCCCUUGGUUCACUCAAGUUGACACAAAAUUAACCAUCACAGAAGGAGACUGGCCUUACUCUGAAAUUAGGAAACUAAAGAAGUGACCAGAAUGGAGACUAGGUAGAGACAACUAGUUCUCUACCAAACAUGUACAGUUAUUCGUUGGUAUCUGAAGGGGAUUGGUUCCAGGAACUCUCAGGGAUACCAAAAUCUGCAGGUGCUCAAGUCAUUUAUAUAAAAUAUUACAGUAUUUGCAUAUAACCUUUGCACAUCUUCCAUAUACUUUAAAUCAUCUCUACAUUACUUAUAAUAAUGAAUGUGUAAAUGCUAUGAAAAUAGUUACUACACUAUUGUUUAUUUGUAUUUUUAUUGAAUUGUUUUGGGGUGGGGGGCAGCUGUAUCUUUCUUAGUAAUAGAACCCCUGGUUUUAGCUGGGCACAUGACUGCCCUCAAUAAAGAUUAAAGUACCCCAGCCUUCCUUGAGAUUGUGGCCAUGUGACUGAACUUUAGACAGUGAGAUAUAAGCAGAUAUCUUCUGUGGCAGUGUUAGGAAACUAUUAAAGACAGUAAGAACAUUGCCCUUUGCCUUCUUUUUCCUUUCUUCAUUUUUCUGCCUGGAAUGCAAAUGUGAUGGCUAACACCCUAGCAGCCAUUUUAGAUUAUGAAGAUGAGAGUCACUCCCCAGGAAGGGUGGACCUGAAAGCUGGAUUCUAGAUGUGGAAUGACAAUACCAGCCCUGGACUACCUACCUGUAGGCUGUGUGUGUGUGUGUGUGAUUGACAGAGAGAGAGAGAGAUAGAUACCACAAGUAACACAAAGCAUCAUACCUGGGACUGGGAAGGUUAAUGUUUAAACAUUUUAAAUGUGGCAUUGGUUUGUUGAAGACAGUCAAGCAGUAGGUGCUGCAGGCUUUGUUGAGGCUAGAAAGCUGUUGGUCUUUAUUAGGUGAUGGCAAAACAAUGGAUCACAUUUUCAUGUGCUGUGUCUUGGGAGGCAAAUGAUGAGAAUGUAGGAUUGGGGAAAAUGGUAAGGAAAAUCCAAAAUGUUCAUGUUUUCUAACCCCUUCUUGCCAAUCUUAAAAGAAGGACAAACAGGCUAGAUUAAGCAAGUCUACAGUUACAAUUGGAAGGAAACACAGCCGUACUAAGGAAGUACUCUGUCUGUGGCCUGCAGUCUAGUUUGACUAGGUCCUGUAUUUGAGCUUUGAAAGAGUAAAGAAUACAAGUGCUCGUAUACCCCUGAAGUAGUUACCAGCAGUGACUGCAAGGAGGUAAUCUUAUGGGAUGAAACUAUAACUCUGUAUUAACCAUCAUAUAUAGCAUAUAUGUGUAUAUGUAUGUGUGUGUGUGUAUAUGUGUAUAUAAAUAUAUGUGUGUGUAUAUACACACAUGUACACACCCUACAACCCAGUGAUUUCAAAAAAUUAAACAUUUGUUUAGCUCAUGAAUCUGUGGGUUGGGUGAACAUUUCUAUUGGUCUUGGCUGGGCUCACCUGUACCCAGUCAGCUGCAGGGUCUAGCUCUUCUUAUCUUGGCUGGGAUCUCACACAUGUCUAGGAUCAGCUGCUUUACUAGUCUAGGAUUGUCUUGGCUGAGACAGGUGGACUACUCAGUUCUCCUCCACUGCCUUAUCCUUCAGCUGGCCAGCCCAGAAAUGUUGCCAUGUUUACAGCAUAAGAGCAAGCAAGAAAGAAUAAUAUGCAACCACUUUUCCAAGCCUAAGGUGAAAGGGCGGGCAGAACCUGUGGUGUUAGGAGGCAACUCAUACCAGCCCAUGGGUCUACCGUUUAAUUUUCAGAAAUUUGGCAAGCUGAUUGUUAACACAGCUGUUGUUUAAUUUAUGUACUUGUAAUUAAAUAAUUUACAUUAAAACAAAGAUA